UUUCUUUCAAAGGUCCCAUGAUUAGACCCCUAAAAGCCAUGGGCCAGCUGCAAGAGGUGCCUGCCACUGAGUGUCAGACAUAAAUAUGGAUUUACAGACAUGACUAGUGUCACCCUUUUAACCUAGGAAAGCUUUGCCAAAUGCUGCUUGUCUUUUGAACCCCGCAUUCAAAUAUGUAGUAAAACCAGGUAUCCUCAUCCUAAGUGUCACAUGACCCAAGAACAGUUUUCACUCAUUUUAAAUGUGCAACUUUGUGCUGUAAGUCUUUACGAACCUUAAAGUGAGUGAGAGACAGGGUCCUUUGGAAGUCACAUUCGUCAGUGGAUCAUGCACACUUUUGUAUGUUACAAAUCUGAUUAAAUCCCUGCCAGAAAUUAUUUCCUGCCCUGCCAAGAGCAACAUGGAGAAGUUCGAUACCUUGUUAGACUAGUCCAGUGUUCUUAGGACCUCACUAAAAGCUUUUCCCCCCCAUCUGGCUUGCCCUUUAUUUCACCUGAGACCUCAGACACAUGAGGAAUCAAGCCAUAACUUUGCGUCUGCUGAUCAUUCCCUACCAUGCCUUCACUAUGACUACAGAUUUCAAAGAUAAUUGUUUUACUUACAUUGUACACUUGAACUGUAACAGGGACCCAUAAUGUGAAAAACAGUCAUUGCUUCAUAUUGUGCUGCUGAUGGAAAGACGAAGUGCUUGCCGUGGUUUCGUUUUUUUGUUUUUGUUUCUUCUUCAGUCUUUCAUAAACUGAAGUUGUAAGCUCUGUGAGAGCAGGGACCAUAUCAUCCUCCACCUUGCAUUUAGGCACUCAAUAAAUAUUCGUGGAUAUGA
Molecule: long non-coding RNA, 823 nt
Filed under: Rattus norvegicus (Norway rat)
Lineage: Eukaryota; Metazoa; Chordata; Mammalia; Rodentia; Muridae
Description: long non-coding RNA NONRATT007479
Source: RNAcentral